GUGCUCACUUCAGCAGUAUAUAUACUAAAAUUAGACUAUACAGAGAUUAACAUGGCCCCUGUGCAAGGAUGACACGCAAAUUUGUGAAGUGUUCUAUAUUUUU
Molecule: small nuclear RNA, 103 nt
Organism: Manis pentadactyla (Chinese pangolin)
Lineage: Eukaryota; Metazoa; Chordata; Mammalia; Pholidota; Manidae
Source: RefSeq, a predicted model, not a curated record